ACUGGUAUAUGUGAAAUCAGUAAACUCACCUUCUGUUCAUUUCUAACAAAGUUUCCAACCGUGAAGAAGGACUGCAUGGCGGAGUCCACCGUCCCUAAGGGGGCCAAAAGAUCCGUUACUUCCGAGCUACUAAAAAUGGCAAAAGAAGGAGAGAAGAGUGAAAGCGAGGUGGUGAAGAAAAUGUCAUCACCCUAUGAUCUGAGUGCCAGUGAUAAUCCUGGAAAUGUGAUUACACAGGUACAGUUAAAAGGAGAAAACUAUGAAGAAUGGGCUAAGGCGGUGAAGAUCUCUUUACGUGCUCGAAGAAAAUGGGGUUUCAUAGAUGGGACUCAUACGGAACCUGAAACAGACACCUCCAAGAUAGAAGAUUGGUGGACAAUUCAAUCAAUGCUCGUGUCUUGGAUAUUAAACACCAUUGAACCUAAUUUGCGUUCCACUAUUGCCUAUAUGGAAAAUGCAAAGGACCUCUGGGAUGACAUCAAAGAACGAUUCUCGAUCGUGAACGGACCAAGAAUCCAACAACUAAAGUCAAAAUUGGCGGAAUGCAAACAACAAGGAAUGACGAUGGUUGCCUAUUAUGGGAAGCUGAAAAUAUUGUGGGAUGAACUCGCAAAUUAUGAGCAAAUCCCACAGUGUAAAUGUGGUGGAUGCAAGUGUAAUAUUGCGACCAAACUCGAGAAACGAAGAGAAGAAGAAAGAGUUCAUCAAUUCUUGAUGGGACUAGAUGACGAGGGCUAUGGAACAACAAGGUCAAAUGUUUUGGCAACAGAUCCAUUACCCUCAUUAAACCGGGUGUAUGCCACUAUGGUGCAAGAAGAAAGAGUGAGAACGAUCACUCGAUCCAAAGAAGAGCGAGGAAUGAUAGUGGGAAUGGUUGUGCAAACAGAGACUAAGGGCAAGCUACGCAAUGAAGUAAAAGAAAAAUCAAUUGUGUGCACACAUUGUGGAAGGACAGGACAUGACAAGAGAAAUUGCUUCGAGAUCAUCGGUUAUCCAGACUGGUGGGGAGAAAGGCCACGAAAUGAAAAUAAAAGUGGCGGAAGACAUCAACAAAGGACAACGUUCUUCCGAGGGAAAGGAGUAACACCUCGUGUCAAUAUAGCGCAUACUAGUACAAGUAGUAGUGACUCGAAGUCAGAUACCAAGAAACCAGAAGUAGCAGGACUGAGUAAUGAGCAGUGGGAGAUCCUCGCAACCAUGUUGAAUUCUCAUAAAGCAAAUACAACUGAAAAGAUGACUGGUAAGAAAUCACGUGACUUGUGGAUUGUUGAUAGUGGUGCCUCUAACCAUAUGACAGGAACGCUAGACAACUUGUGGGAGAGUCGAACCUUGGAAGGAUGCCCUGUGGGACUGCCAAAUGGUGAAUUGGUAUUGGCAGACAAAGAAGGAUCAGUUUUUCUUGAUGGAGGACUAAAACUUGAAAAUGUUCUAUAUGUCCCGAAGUUGAAUUGUAACUUGAUUUCAGUGUCACAACUGAUAGAUGAAGCAAAAUGUACAGUGCAUUUUACUGAUAAAUUUUGUGCAAUGCAGGACCACACUUUGAGGAUGCUGAUUGGAGCGGGUGAACGGAAAGAUGGACUCUAUUGGUAUCGUGGUGUGAGUGACGUAAAAGCUCAUCAUAUCAAUACAGAAAGUCAACUUGAGAUUUGGCACAAGCGAAUGGGACAUCCCGCCUACCAAAUUGUUGAAAAGAUUCCGAAUAUGACAAUCACGCGUGGUGAUAAGAAUACAAGUAGAGUGUGUGAAGUAUGUGAAAAAUCAAAGCAAAGUAGGAAUAAAUUCCCUUUAAGUGAUUCUCAAGCAUCCAAUGUUUUCGAUUUAAUACAUUGUGAUUUAUGGGGUCCAUACAGAACUCUCUCUUCAUGUGGUGCAUCUUACUUUCUAACCUUGGUUGAUGAUUGUUCUCGAGCUGUGUGGAUAUACUUGUUGAACAGUAAGAAAGGUGUGUCGCAAACCUUAAUGAAUUUCAUCACUUUAAUAGAACGGCAAUACAAGAAACAAGUGAAAAUGAUACGAAGUGACAAUGGAACAGAGUUCAUGUGCCUUCAACAAUAUUUUCAGCUACAUGGGAUACUACAUCAAACUUCAUGUACUGGAACACCUCAGCAAAAUGGAAGAGUUGAGCGAAAACAUCAACACAUUCUAAAUGUAGCACGUGCUUUAAGGUUUCAAGGACAACUUCCGCUUAAAUUCUGGGGUGAAUGCAUUUUGACUGCAGGUUACUUGAUCAAUCGUACACCUUCAACAAUUCUCCAAGGAAAAACUCCAUAUGAAAUAGUUAAUGGGAACCCGCCUACCUAUGAUCACUUGCGGGUGUUUGGAUGCUUGUGUUAUGCACACAACCAAGAUAGGAAUGGUGAUAAAUUUGCAAGUAGAAGUCGCAAGAGUGUGUUUGUUGGAUAUUCGGCUGGACAGAAGGGGUGGAAAUUAUUUGAUCUAGAAAGAGAAGUUUUCUGGGUUUCGAGAGAUGUCAAGUUUGUUGAAAAUGAAUUUCCGUUUGCCUCUCUCAUUCAUAAGGAACCUUCAGAAAUGAAGUUGCCUUUCAUUAAUGCUGGUGUAGAAAAUCAUGACGAACACAUUGUGGAAAUUGAUGAAAAUGACCCUACGACCGAGACAGUGACCACAAAUGAGUUCAAUGGGGUUCAAGAUAACAGCCAUGAUCUAGAACUCGCAUCUCAAGUUGUUCCUUCACCAGAACAAACUUCUAGUUCGACAAUAGAAAACGAGGUUGACAAGAUGUCUACUGUGUCUUCUCCACUCGGGAAAGGUCACCGUGUACGACAACCAUCGGUGAAGCUUCGUGAUUAUGUCACUAACACCACCAUCCAAGUUAAGUCAUCAAUCCUCACUCCACAUUCAGUUUCCUCAGGUAUGUCUUACCCAUUGACAAAUUAUCUUAAUUGUGACAAAUUCUCCUUGCAACACAGAAUCUUUCUUGCAGCCCUUCAUGAAGAGCGAGAGCCAGUACACUUUUCCGAAGCAGUUCGGGAUGUUCGGUGGAGGGAUGCAAUGACUAAUGAAAUUGAUGCCCUCCAAAACAAUGGAACUUGGGACAUUAUAGCUUUGCCGGCAGGGAAAAAGCCUUUGGGAUGCAAGUGGAUUUACAAAAUUAAAUAUCACUCUGAUGGGAGUAUUGAACGUUUCAAAGCACGACUAGUUGUCUUGGGAAAUCACCAAGUUGAAGGGAUUGAUUACGAUGAAACCUUUGCCCCAGUGGCAAAGAUGGUCACCAUUCGAACAAUAUUAGCAGUCGCUGUUGCCAAAGACUGGGAACUUCAUCAAAUGGAUGUUCAUAAUGCUUUUCUGCACGGAGAUCUAGACGAAGCGGUGUAUAUGAAACUGCCACCAGGGUUCUUGGUGUCACAAAAUGGUUUGGUAUGUCGUCUCCGCAAGUCCAUUUAUGGGCUUCGUCAGGCCCCUCGGUGUUGGUUUGCUAAGCUCUCAAAUGCUCUUGACCAAUACGGAUUUCAACGCUCUCAAUCCGACCAUUCCUUGUUCACUUUUCGAAAAAAAGGUUGCACUCAGAGGCAAAAAAUUGGAGCAUGGAGAUGGAGAAGUAGUAAUAAUUGGGGGUAUGGUGUUGGACAUUCACGCUACACCUUCAGUGAGAGCAAAUUCUGGAACAACUGUCCCUGGCAAGGUCUAUUAUGUUAGAGGAGGUGUGGGGAGGAAUGUAGCAGAGUGCAUGUCAAAACUCGGAGCUAAGCCAUUCAUGAUCAGUGCUAUUGGGUUUGACAUGGCCGGAGCGUGGUUCGGGGAGACAGAUUGGAGAAGGAUAUGAAGCUGGUGGAUUAUACCAUUUUGGAUCUCGUCCAAGGGUGUCCUGUGUUGCUGCUGCUAAUCCUAAAGUGCUACAUGAUCGACUUGGCCAUCCUCAUUUGUCUAAAUUAAAAAAGAUGUGUCCUGAACUUAGUGGUCUCCAAACCUUAGAAUGUGAGUCAUGUCAAUUAGGAAAACAUGUUAGAUCUUCCUUUCCUAAAAGGUCUCAAUCAAUAUGUAAUUCUAGUUUUUCCAUCAUGCAUUCUGAUAUAUGGGGACCUAGUCGUAUCUCCUCCUUUGGUUUUAGAUAUUUUGUUACCUUUAUUGAUGAAUAUUCAAGAUGUACUUGGGUUUAUCUUAUGAAAAAUCGUUCUGAAUUGUUAGUUAUCUUAACAUCUUUUUUGAAUGAAAUCAAGAAUCAAUUUGGUCAAGUAAUCAAAAUAUUAAGAAGUGAUAAUGCAAAAGAGUAUUUCUCAUCCUCCUUUUCUACCAUCUUGAGUUCCCAUGGUAUCUUACAUCAGUCUACUUGUCCUCAUACACCACAGCAAAGUGGUAUAGCAGAACGAAAAAAUAGACACUUGGUUGAAACUGCUCGUACCCUUUUGCUUGGUGCCCAUAUUCUUGUCCAUCACUGGGGGAUGUCAUCUUAACUGCAUGUUAUCUUAUUAAUAGGAUGCCCUCCUCCUCUCUUAAUAAUAAAGUCCCUUUCUCCAUUUUGUUUCCUAAUGAUCUUCUCUUUCAUACAUCUCCCCGAGUGUUUGGCUGUGUAUGUUUUGUUCAUGACAUGUCUCCAUGUCUAGACAAACUCUCCGCUCGCGCUCUCAAAUGUGUCUUCUUAGGCUAUUCUCGACUUCAAAAAGGAUAUCGGUGUUACUCUCCUGAAACUAAGAAGUAUUACAUGUCUGCCAAUGUCACAUUCUUUGAACAGACUCCUUACUUCUCUCCAUCUGUUCAGGAUGUUUCUAUCCUCCAGCAGGUCCUUCCUAUUCCAAUGGCUGAGUCAAAUAGCUCCACUGUCUCUGUUAUUCCAAGUCUUGAUCACAAUCCUUCUACACCUAUUUCUCCACAUAUUGAGAUCAUCCCAUACAGGGCCCCAAUAGAUAGUCCACCUCCCCAAGACAAUGGUGAAUCUCCUACUUCAGAUUCUUUUCCCUCGUCACCUCCUCCCACGCCUCCUGGUGCAAAUGAUUCAGCAUGGCCUAUUGCCCUCAGAAAAGGUACUCGUUCCACUCGAAACCCUCAUCCCAUUUAUAAUUUUCUAAGCUAUCAUCGAUUGUCGCCCUCCUAUUUUUCUCUUUUAUCCUCAGUGUCCUCUGUUGUUAUACCCAAGAAUGUGAAAGAAGCACUUGAUCAUCCUGGAUGGCGACAAGCUAUGAUUGUAGAAAUUCAGGCUCUUGACCACAGUAAUACUUGGGAGCUGGUGCCCCUUCCCCCAGGAAAAAAGGCGGUUGGUUGUCGAUGGGUGUAUGCAGUUAAAGUUGGCCCUGAUGGUGAAAUUGAUUGGCUCAAAGCUCGACUUGUUGCAAAAGGUUACACUCAGGUUUAUGGUCUUGAUUAUUGUGACACUUUCUCUCCUGUAGCCAAGAUGACUACUAUUCGUCUCUUCUUUGCCAUGGCAGUCAUUCGUCACUGGCCACUUCAUCAAUUGGAUAUCAAGAAUGCCUUCCUACAUGGUAAUCUUGAGGAAGAAGUUUAUAUGGAGCAACCUCCUGGGUUUGUUGCUCAGGGGGAGUCUGGUAUGGUAUGCAAAUUGCAUCAAUCUCUAUAUGGCCUCAAGCAAUCCCCACGUGCUUGGUUUGGAAAGUUUAGCUCCAUUGUUCAAAAAUUUGGGCUAAAACGCAGUGAAGCAGACCAUUCAGUUUUUUAUUGUCAUUCUUCUCUUGGGAAAUGUGUUUACUUAAUAGUAUAUAUUACAGGAAAUGAUGUUGUUGGAAUAUCUCAACUAAAAGAGUACUCGUGUAGACAUUUUCAAACCAAGGAUCUUGGAAGUCUCAAAUACUUCUUAGGCAUUGAAGUAGCGCAAUCAAAAGAUGGAGUUGUAAUCUCCCAAAGGAAGUAUGCUCUUGAUAUAUUACAAGAAAUAGGCAUGAUUGAUUGUAGACCGGUAGACAGUCCCAUGGACCCAAACCAGAAAUUAAGGACAGAAGAAGGUGAAUUAUUCUCCGAUCCAGAGAGGUAUAGGAGGCUGGUUGGAAAACUGAUUUAUCUCACUAUUACAAGGCCAGAUCUAUCCUUUGUAGUUGGAGUGGUUAGUCAGUUCAUGCAGGCUCCAUGUGUUGACCAUUGGAAUGCUCUCAUUCGCAUUCUAAGGUAUGUAAAGAAGGCUCCCGGGCAAGGAUUUGUUAUAUGAAGAUAAAGGAAGCAUUCAGGUCUCUGGGUAUUGUGAUGCAAAUUGGGCAGGUUCACCUAUUGAUAGACGGUCUACUACAGGAUAUUGUGUUUUUCUGGGAGGAAACAUUAUUUCAUGGAAAAGUAAGAAAUAGAAUGUAGUAGCUCGAUCAACAGCAGAAGCCGAGUAUAGGGCAAUGGCAUCACUAACAUGUAAACUUAUAUGGGUGAAACAAUUCCUUCAAGAGGUUAAAUUUUGUGACAUCCAUACUAUGAAGAUGUAUUGCGACAAUCAAGUUGCUCUCCACAUUGCAUCAAAUCCAGUGUUUCACGAGAGGACUAAACAUAUAGAAAUUGAUUGUCAUUUUGUUCGUGAAAAGUUGUUGACCAAAGAAAUAUGUACUGAGUUUAUUGGGUCAAACGAUCAACUCACAGAUGUAUUGACCAAGUCAUUAAGGGGUCCUCGGAUUGAGUUUAUUUGUUCCAAGCUUGGUACAUACAAUUUGUAUGCUCCAGCUUGAGGGGGAGUAUUAGGAUAUUUAUCCUAUUUUAUCAUCAUUAUAGUGUGUCAAGGGUUACCCUAUUUAUCAUGAUUAUAUUGUGUCUAGGAUUACCCUAUUUAUCAUGAUUAUAUUGUGUCUAGGGUUAUCCUAUUUAUCAUGUACUUGUGUAUCAAUUUAUUCUUAUAAAUAGAAGAUUGUGAGAGGGAUCAAUCAAGCCCUCUAGAAUUAUUUUACAGUUUCAAUCUUAAGUAGAAUCAUCUGCCGAUUUUCUACAAUGACUUCACUGUACCAGAAGACAUGUUGAUGAAAAUGACAUUUGGAGAAUAAAUUUCUUCUUCUACUGUAUUUUUUCUU
This is an RNA transcript of Vigna angularis (adzuki bean), 6944 nucleotides long. It is a transcript of the gene named pseudouridine kinase, with no coding region annotated. The record is from RefSeq and is a predicted model, not a curated record. Lineage: Eukaryota; Viridiplantae; Streptophyta; Magnoliopsida; Fabales; Fabaceae. The transcript is spliced from 5 exons.